Molecule: transfer RNA, 74 nt
Filed under: Candidatus Berkelbacteria bacterium
Lineage: Bacteria; Candidatus Berkelbacteria
Description: tRNA-Glu
Rfam family: tRNA
About the family: Transfer RNA (tRNA) molecules are approximately 80 nucleotides in length. Their secondary structure includes four short double-helical elements and three loops (D, anti-codon, and T loops). Further hydrogen bonds mediate the characteristic L-shaped molecular structure. tRNAs have two regions of fundamental functional importance: the anti-codon, which is responsible for specific mRNA codon recognition, and the 3' end, to which the tRNAs corresponding amino acid is attached (by aminoacyl-tRNA synthetases). tRNAs cope with the degeneracy of the genetic code in two manners: having more than one tRNA (with a specific anti-codon) for a particular amino acid; and 'wobble' base-pairing, i.e. permitting non-standard base-pairing at the 3rd anti-codon position.
Source: RNAcentral
GGCGCUAUCGUCUAGUGGCAGGACAUCGGCUUCUCAGGCCGAAAACCGGGGUUCAAGUCCCCGUAGCGCUACCA